RNAcentral lists this transfer RNA (73 nucleotides) under Gemmatimonadota bacterium. Its description in RNAcentral is "Gemmatimonadetes bacterium tRNA-Arg". It matches the Rfam family "tRNA". Rfam says of the family: Transfer RNA (tRNA) molecules are approximately 80 nucleotides in length. Their secondary structure includes four short double-helical elements and three loops (D, anti-codon, and T loops). The record is from RNAcentral. Lineage: Bacteria; Pseudomonadati; Gemmatimonadota.
GCCCCUGUAGCUCAGAGGAUAGAGUAGCAGAUUCCUAAUCUGUUGGCCGCAGGUUCGAGUCCUGCCAGGGGCA